UACAGAGGGGGCAAGCGUUGUCCGGAUUUAUUGGGCGUAAAGAGUUCGUAGGUGGUUUGUUAAGUCUGAUGUUAAAGACUGAGGCUCAACCUCGGGAGUGCAUUGGAUACUGGCAGACUAGAGUAUGGUAGAGGCAAGCGGAAUUCCCAGUGUAGCGGUGAAAUGCGUAGAUAUUGGGAAGAACACCGGUGGUGUAGGCGGCUUGCUGGGCCAUAACUGACACUGAGGAACGAAAGCCAGGGGAGCGAAUGGG
RNAcentral lists this ribosomal RNA (253 nucleotides) under uncultured bacterium. Its description in RNAcentral is "partial 16S ribosomal RNA". It matches the Rfam family "Bacterial small subunit ribosomal RNA", at positions 524 to 776 of the family's 1533-position model. The record is from RNAcentral.